This 500-nucleotide ribosomal RNA is filed under the name uncultured bacterium. RNAcentral's name for it is "partial 16S ribosomal RNA". It matches the Rfam family "Bacterial small subunit ribosomal RNA", at positions 29 to 523 of the family's 1533-position model. The record is from RNAcentral.
AUUGAACGCUGGCGGCAUGCCUUACACAUGCAAGUCGAACGGCAGCACGGGAGCAAUCCUGGUGGCGAGUGGCGAACGGGUGAGUAAAGUAUCGGAACGUGCCCAGUCGUGGGGGAUAACGUAGCGAAAGUUACGCUAAUACCGCAUACGACCUAAGGGUGAAAGCGGGGGAUCGCAAGACCUCGCGCUAUGGGAGCGGCCGAUGUCGGAUUAGCUAGUUGGUGGGGUAAAGGCUCACCAAGGCAACGAUCCGUAGCUGGUCUGAGAGGACGACCAGCCACACUGGGACUGAGACACGGCCCAGACUCCUACGGGAGGCAGCAGUGGGGAAUUUUGGACAAUGGGCGCAAGCCUGAUCCAGCCAUGCCGCGUGCGGGAAGAAGGCCUUCGGGUUGUAAACCGCUUUUGUCAGGGAAGAAACGGUCUGCGUUAAUACCGCGGACUAAUGACGGUACCUGAAGAAUAAGCACCGGCUAACUACGUGCCAGCCGCCGCCGUAA